CACGUAGGGCGCAAGCGUUGUCCGGAAUUAUUGGGCGUAAAGAGCUCGUAGGCGGUCUGUUGCGUCCGCUGUGAAAACUCGGGGCUUAACCCCGAGCCUGCAGUGGAUACGGGCAGACUAGAGUACUGCAGGGGAGACUGGAAUUCCUGGUGUAGCGGUGGAAUGCGCAGAUAUCAGGAGGAACACCGGUGGCGAAGGCGGGUCUCUGGGCAGUAACUGACGCUGAGGAGCGAAAGCGUGGGGAGCGAACAGG
This 253-nucleotide ribosomal RNA is filed under the name uncultured bacterium. Its description in RNAcentral is "partial 16S ribosomal RNA". It matches the Rfam family "Bacterial small subunit ribosomal RNA", at positions 524 to 776 of the family's 1533-position model. The record is from RNAcentral.